UAGGGAAUCUUUGGCAAUGGGGGGAACCCUGACCGAGCAACGCCGCGUGAGUGAAGAAGGUUUUCGGAUCGUAAAGCCCUGUUGUUAAGGAAGAACGAGUGUGAGAAUGGAAAGUUCAUACUGUGACGGUAGUUAACCAGAAAGGGACGGCUAACUACGUGCCAGCAGCCGCGGUAACACGUAGGUCCCGAGCGUUGUCCGGAUUUAUUGGGCGUAAAGCGAGCGCAGGCGGUUAGAUAAGUCUGAAGUUAAAGGCAGUGGCUCAACCAUUGUAGGCUUUGGAAACUGUUUAACUUGAGUGCAGAAGGGGAGAGUGGAAUUCCAUGGGUAGCGGUGAAAUGCGUAGAUAUAUGGAGGAACACCGGUGGCGAAAGCUGCUCUCUGGUCUAUAACUGACGCUGAGGCUCGAAAGCGUGGGGAGCAAACAGG
This 429-nucleotide ribosomal RNA is filed under the name Bacteroidota bacterium. Its description in RNAcentral is "Bacteroidetes bacterium partial 16S ribosomal RNA". It matches the Rfam family "Bacterial small subunit ribosomal RNA", at positions 355 to 776 of the family's 1533-position model. The record is from RNAcentral. Lineage: Bacteria; Pseudomonadati; Bacteroidota.